Long non-coding RNA from Sebastes umbrosus (honeycomb rockfish), 306 nucleotides. RefSeq lists it as uncharacterized. The record is from RefSeq and is a predicted model, not a curated record. NCBI's taxonomy places the organism in Eukaryota, Metazoa, Chordata, Actinopteri, Perciformes, Sebastidae. The transcript has 3 exons.
ACAAUACCCUUGAGAGCAAACACACUCCAGAUCAUUUGGACUAUUUUGGACCAUAGGUUCAUCUCCAGACAGAACAGAGAAUAAACUGGCAGUGACUUCAGCAUUAACGAUGCUUAGAGGCUGAAGUAGUGAUUCAGUCACACCGAAGGGGCCCUCACAGAGGCCCCUGUGGACCGUAGAGUGACCAAGACUGACGUACAGUAUGCACUGCCCUCUCGUCCCAUACAUCAUCUCUCCUCUAGCUUAAAAAUAAACCCAUCCACUGCCUUUAACAUAGCAACAAUUCCCUCCCCCUCCCUCUUCAUC